UUUUUUAUCUAUUUCAUGAUAAAUUUUUGUGCUUUUGAUGAAAAGGAAGUAUGAAUUUUAUUCUGGGUUUUGGAUAUGAGUAGUAGAUUGUGAUUUGUAGCACACAUAUAUACUGGGUGUUGUGAUGUACAUAUAUUUAGAACUAUUUAGAACCAAUUUCAGGGAUUUGGUCAAUUCAAUUUGCCUAUGAUUUGAGUACUGCUAGCAUCCUUGUAUCAUUGGAUAUCUGUAAUGGGUUGAGUUUGAUUUUGUUUUGGUGAAUUUUCUGGACCCUUGUAACUUGUGUUCAUUGGUGUUGAUCCCGUUUUGACUUAGUAGAGGUUCAACAUGUGUCAGCAAUGCAACUUUGAGAUUGAAUUCUGUUGUGUUCUAGGCUGUAGGAUUAAGGUUUGAUCUGUAUUCAAUCUUGAUAUGAACUGAUAUUAAGGUUUUAAGAAAGUUGCUGUUUGGAAAGAUGAGAUUAAUGUAUGCCUUGCUUCUUUAGAAAGAAUCCUUUUCUAAACAUUGAGAUAAUACUAAAAUAUAUGCAAGAUUUUAGAGUGUAGGAAAGAUUGAAAGCUGCACAGCCUGCACUGAGGGCUGAGGCUUAGGUUUGAGAGGUUGGACCGUCGGACUGAUGGACCGUCGAACUAGGAAUCAGUAGGAACUAUUUGGCUAUUUUGCUAUUUUGUUAUAUGCUUUCAGGGGUAGAUAAUGCACCCAAUUGAACAAAUUGAUUUGAGUGGUCUGUAUGUCAAUGAGUUUAUCGAUGAAGACACAGGUUUCUGAAUCUUUUUAUUCCAUAAGCUUCAUGAAUUAAGUUGUGAUACCCCGGAAAUUCGUAUUUAUUUUCCGAGGAUUUUUCGGAAUCUAAUUUAUGGUUAUUGGACGGUUUCGUGGCUCAUGGACGGAGCGGAAGUGUUUCGAGCGGAUUUUUAUUUGAAAAGUGUGGAUUUAGGGGGGGGGUUCAAGGUUGACUUUUGAUACAUUGAGAUUCUCCAAAAAAUUCCUUCACGAAAGUCGUAGAGCAUGCACGUCGAUACGAGUUCGUGGACGUGCAGUGCGCAUCAAUUGGAGUUCGUAUGAGAAAGUUAAGGUCUGCGGAAGUUUUGGGAAAGUUCUAUAAAUAGGAGUUUCCAUUUUCGGAAACUUACUAUUUUUAUUUUUCCACUUUCCUUUUCCGAAAACUCUGAAACUCUCCGUUCUCUCUCUUCUUUGCGACUGACCCGACCCGAACCGAACCCGGAGAUCCGACCCGUCCGGCAGUCCUUAUUCCGGCGACCUCUACCGGUGAAACUCUCCAGAUCAGCUCGUCUCCUCCGUGCGCUCCUAUCUGUGGUAUCCUCUUGAGGCGAUUCUCCUCCACGGCGGCGCUGCAAGGCGGCACCGUUUGAGGUAUUCGGACCCGAUCGGAAAACGCAGUUCCGGCGCUUUUAGGAAGCAUGGGUUAAUCCUGCAGGUCAGGGAAAUCGUGGUUGAAUCUGAAGUAGCGUGCUAGCAGCUUUACAGUAGGAAGUCAAUUUUGUGACUUUACCGUUAUUAAGACUUCCGUUGUAGUGAGCUCUGAGGAGCAUUUACGUUUUAUUUUGUUGUUGACAAUUUAAUUUGUAAGCUUGUGUAGUAUAUAACUCUGUGGAGAGCGAGUGUAUAUUUAACUUUGAGGGUUCAGGGCAUCAGUUUGUACUUGGUUUAAAGGGAAAAAGUUUUCAGGUAUUUUGUAUUUA
This is a long non-coding RNA of Rosa rugosa (rugosa rose), 1703 nucleotides long. RefSeq lists it as uncharacterized. The transcript is spliced from 2 exons. The record is from RefSeq and is a predicted model, not a curated record. Lineage: Eukaryota; Viridiplantae; Streptophyta; Magnoliopsida; Rosales; Rosaceae.